AUUGAACGCUGGCGGCGUGCUUAACACAUGCAAGUCGUGCGGUAACAGGCGUAGCAAUACGUGCUGACGAGCGGCGAACGGGUGCGUAAUACAUGGGAAUCUGCCCUUUAGUGGGGAAUAACCCGGCGAAAGCCGGGCUAAUGCCGCAUAAGAUCUUCGGAUGAAAGCGGGGGAUCGUAAGACCUCGCGCUGAUGGAUGAGCCCAUGUCGGAUUAGCAGUUGGUGAGGUAACGGCUCACCAAGGCGACGAUCCGUAGCUGGUCUGAGAGGACGGCCAGCCACACUGGGACUGAGACACGGCCCAGACUCCUACGGGAGGCAGCAGUGGGGAAUAUUGGACAAUGGGCGAAAGCCUGAUCCAGCGACGCCGCGUGUGUGAAGAAGGCCCGCGGGUUGUAAAGCACUUUCGAUGGGAACG
This 418-nucleotide ribosomal RNA is filed under the name uncultured bacterium. RNAcentral describes it as "bacterial SSU rRNA". It matches the Rfam family "Bacterial small subunit ribosomal RNA", at positions 29 to 447 of the family's 1533-position model. The record is from RNAcentral.